GGGGCCCGCACAAGCGGAGGAACAUGUGGUUUAAUUCGAUGAUACGCGAGGAACCUUACCUGGGCUAGAACGCAUUCGGAAUCAGGCCGAAAGGCCUGCGCCAGCGAUGGCCGCUUGCGAGGUGCUGCAUGGUUGUCGUCAGCUCGUGCCGUGAGGUGUCGGGUUAAGUCCCAUAACGAGCGCAACCCCUACUGCUAGUUGCCAGCGGGUCAUGCCGGGGACUCUAGCGGAACUGCCAGCGUAAGCCGCGAGGAAGGUGGGGAUGACGUCAAAUCAGCACGGCCCUUACGUCCAGGGCUGCACACGUGUUACAAUGGCCGGUACAGAGGGCAGCCACCCCGCGAGGGGGCGCGAAUCCCGAAAGCCGGUCCCAGUUCGGAUCGGAGUCUGCAACCCGACUCCGUGAAGCUGGAUUCGCUAGUAAUCGCGCAUCAGCCACGGCGCGGUGAAUACGUUCCCGGGCCUU
This 466-nucleotide ribosomal RNA is filed under the name uncultured Rikenellaceae bacterium. RNAcentral's name for it is "bacterial SSU rRNA". It matches the Rfam family "Bacterial small subunit ribosomal RNA", at positions 916 to 1382 of the family's 1533-position model. Lineage: Bacteria; Pseudomonadati; Bacteroidota; Bacteroidia; Bacteroidales; Rikenellaceae. The record is from RNAcentral.